Molecule: ribosomal RNA, 483 nt
Filed under: uncultured bacterium
Lineage: Bacteria
Description: partial 16S ribosomal RNA
Rfam family: Bacterial small subunit ribosomal RNA
Source: RNAcentral
AUUAAACGCUGGCGGCAUGCUUUACACAUGCAAGUCGAACGGCAGCGCGGGCUUCGGCCUGGCGGCGAGUGGCGAACGGGUGAGUAAUGCAUCGGAACGUGCCCAGUAGUGGGGGAUAGCCCGGCGAAAGCCGGAUUAAUACCGCAUACGACCUGAGGGUGAAAGCGGGGGACCGAAAGGCCUCGCGCUAUUGGAGCGGCCGAUGUCGGAUUAGCUAGUUGGUGGGGUAAAGGCUUACCAAGGCGACGAUCCGUAGCUGGUCUGAGAGGACGACCAGCCACACUGGGACUGAGACACGGCCCAGACUCCUACGGGAGGCAGCAGUGGGGAAUUUUGGACAAUGGGGGCAACCCUGAUCCAGCCAUGCCGCGUGCGGGAAGAAGGCCUUCGGGUUGUAAACCGCUUUUGUUCGGGAAGAAAUCCUCUGGGCUAAUACCCCGGGGGGAUGACGGUACCGGAAGAAUAAGCACCGGCUAACUACGU